RNAcentral lists this ribosomal RNA (349 nucleotides) under Glutamicibacter creatinolyticus. Its description in RNAcentral is "bacterial SSU rRNA". It matches the Rfam family "Bacterial small subunit ribosomal RNA", at positions 415 to 769 of the family's 1533-position model. The record is from RNAcentral. Lineage: Bacteria; Bacillati; Actinomycetota; Actinomycetes; Micrococcales; Micrococcaceae.
CCUUCGGGUUGUAACCCUCUUUCAGUAGGGAGGAAGCCCCUUUUGGGGGUGACGGUACUUGCAGAAGAAGCGCCGGCUAACUACGUGCCAGCAGCCGCGGUAAUACGUAGGGCGCAAGCGUUAUCCGGAAUUAUUGGGCGUAAAGAGCUCGUAGGCGGUUUGUCGCGUCUGCCGUGAAAGUCCGAGGCUCAACCUCGGAUCUGCGGUGGGUACGGGCAGACUAGAGUGAUGUAGGGGAGACUGGAAUUCCUGGUGUAGCGGUGAAAUGCGCAGAUAUCAGGAGGAACACCGAUGGCGAAGGCAGGUCUCUGGGCAUUUACUGACGCUGAGGAGCGAAAGCAUGGGGAGC